AGCUUUCAUUUGGCCAUUCUUCCGUCAUCUUUUAUCGACCCAGUGGUCCAGUGAAGCUAUAACCGUAUAGUGCUCGGCUUGAGUCUUAAUGCUAGUAAGCGUCAGAAAAAGUAAACUCCAGGGUUCCGACUUGCUUAAGAAAUGGCACACCCCGGCAGCUUCCCAGCUUCGUGUAUUCCAUUCGCGGAGUGCCUUGUGCAUAUGAAAUUGUACUUGCAUCAGAAUUUGCAGGAAGGAUUGCUGGAUCAGGCUCCAGAUCCUCUUGAAAAGGUAGCAUUCCACAGAAAUUAGUUCUCUUGAAUUCCCAAUCUGAAAACUGUCCGAGGGAUUAUGUCCAAAAAGCUACUGUGUCCCUGUCUCUUUAUGCUUCGUAGCAGUGUGCAAUUGAAUAGUAUAGCUCCUAUUUUAAUUUUUGGCUUUUUUUGGGGGUGGUAAGGCGACACGCGUUGCGAUGUAUCUUUCUGAUUAAGGUGAGGAAGCUUUUCGUCUGUUCUCAAAGCACAGGUUGAUCUUUUCCAUCCUCCUCCCCGCUCUCCAUUACAGGACAUUUGCCACCGCCUUCUGGAAGAAAGUUGCCCUUAGCAAUACGUUCGUGCAGUUUGCGAUCCAGUCCCCUCCAGGUAGAGCAUGCCUGUGCAUGUAGGCUUUACCAGCACAUGUGCAAUAGACCACACAUGCAUUUUUUCCCUCCAUUGAAUUCAAAGAGAGCCGUAGCACCUGCAAGAUGCUUUGGAUACUCAUGUAAUAAGCAGCUGUCAAAAGAGCAUCGCAAAGUAAAUCAGAUGUGGUGUUUGUGAAAAGCAGCAUUUGCUAAAGUUACAGCGCAACUGUGAUUUCUCAACCUUAUUACUAUGCCAGGAAGAGGGGGGGGGGAAUAAACAAAUGGUUAGGAAGCAAUAAAAGGGAUGUUGAUGGGUCUUCUUCUUUUUUAUAUAUAUAAAUAUAUAGAGAGAAAUGUAUAUGAAAUUGUUUGGCUUUUCGUUUAGUGUCCUUCCCCCCCCCCCCUUUUAAAAAGUGUAGAUUUGGGAUGUUAGCUCAUUUGGUUUUUAUCUAUUUAUUAAUCAAAUUUGUAUAGCCACCCAUGUCACCCAAAGCUUUGAUUGCCUUUUUUUUUCUUACUGCAAUAGGGUUAAGUUGGAAAGUCCUUCUCUUUCAAUUAAAACCUAAUAAUUAAUGUGCACUGUUAUGAAGAAGUAUAUCUUACACCUUUUCCAACAUUUUGGACAAAGUUAUUGGUUUUUUUUUUAAAUUGGUUGUUUUUUUUAACAAAAACAAAUUCUUCAUUUGUUCAUUGGUUUUUGUUUUUUGAACAAAAACAAUUGCUUUGUUUUUGAACAUAACGGUAUUUUGAACAAAGUGUUAAGGGGAUGAUUUCCCCCCCCCCUUAAUUUUCAUAGGCACAAAACCAUAAGAGAAAUUCCCAUCUCUUUGCGCUUAAAAGUUUCAUUAUGAUUAUGAUUAUUUUAUUUUAUUAUUAUUAUUAUUAUUAUUAUGGUUGGUUGUACAGCCAGCCAGAUGUUGCUAUGAUAGAGGGGGGAGGUUAUGGGAAAAAAGAGAGAUAUUGAUUACAACUUUUGGGAAGUUUCCACCUGCCUAAUUUUAACUAAUCACCAAGUUUGAUCUUAAGUGGCUUUGAGAGGAUAGUUCUAAAAGGACAUUUAAAAAUUAAGAACAUACAUUUACAUUCUUCCAGCUCUUUCUACUUUCCUACCCAAUACAAACAAAUAACAGGGAGCCAAAAGUAAUACCCCGCUUGUUUUAAUAUUUGAAAGAAAUCACAAAAAAGAAUCUCCAUAGACAGAAAGAAAUAACACAUUUUCUUUCUUUCCUCCUGCUGGUACCAGUUUUGAACAUUGUUCAAAAGCAAAAUAUAGUACUAUAAAAUAAUUUUGUACUGUAUUUAUUGUGUAUAACGAUUUUUUAAAAGAAUUAUGUACAUUUAGUACUUCUGUGUAAAUUAAAUUGCUCUUUUUAAAAAUG
Molecule: long non-coding RNA, 1980 nt
Organism: Crotalus tigris (Tiger rattlesnake)
Lineage: Eukaryota; Metazoa; Chordata; Lepidosauria; Squamata; Viperidae
Exons: 2
Source: RefSeq, a predicted model, not a curated record